GCUUGAGUGAGUGAAAGUGUUGUGUCUGUGUGUUUGAGUGUGUGAGUGAGUGAGAUACUCUUUAAAAACCUACACACUGAUCUUAUUUGAUCUGGUCUGAGUUCGGCUCUGCUCUCACCGGAGAUGAUAGGAAAACCGCUCGCGAGCCUCCAUGGCGAUGUGCGGAUGAUUUCAACCUUCAGGGCCUCCACGCUUUAAGUUGUGGUCAGAGGUGAUGAAUUGAUCAGAUAUACUAGUUCUUGGUGGGUUUGGGUUCGUCUCAAGCCUCACAAUGGACAAUGAGUAUAGAGGCGAUUCUGAUCUAA
Non-coding RNA from Sparus aurata (gilthead seabream), 305 nucleotides. The record is from Ensembl. Lineage: Eukaryota; Metazoa; Chordata; Actinopteri; Spariformes; Sparidae.